CGGCGUGGAUUAGGCAUGCAAGUCGAACGAGGAAGUGCCCCGUAAGGGGCGCAAGCCUAGUGGCGAAAGGGUGAGUAAUGCAUUGAUAACCUGCCUUUGAGAUGGGAAUAACUGCGUUUCGAGCAAUCGGAACUACCGAAAGGGCUGCUAAUACCCAAUAAUACUAUAGGUGCAAAAGCACUUGUGGUCAAAUGCUAGGAAUUCUGUUCCUUGUGCUUAAAGAGGGGUUAAUGUCCUAUCAGCUAGUUGGUGGGGUAAUGGCCUACCAAGGCAAAGACGGGUAGCCGGCUUGAGAGGGUGGUCGGCCACACUGGGACUGAGACACUGCCCAGACUCCUACGGGAGGCUGCAGUCGAGAAUCUUUCGCAAUGCCCGAAAGGGUGACGAAGCGACGCCGCGUGUGGGAAGAAGGCCUUCGGGUUGUAAACCACUGUCGGGAGUUAGGAAAUGCAGGUGCGUUAAUAGCGCACUUGCUUGACUGAGGCUCCAGAGGAAGCCACGGCUAACUCUGUGCCAGCAGCCGCGGUAAU
This 530-nucleotide ribosomal RNA is filed under the name uncultured Planctomycetota bacterium. RNAcentral's name for it is "bacterial SSU rRNA". It matches the Rfam family "Bacterial small subunit ribosomal RNA", at positions 40 to 524 of the family's 1533-position model. Lineage: Bacteria; Pseudomonadati; Planctomycetota. The record is from RNAcentral.